UCGUCAGCUCGUGUCGUGAGAUGUUGGGUUAAGUCCCGCAACGAGCGCAACCCUCGUCUUUAGUUGCCAUCAUUAAGUUGGGCACUCUAGAGAGACUGCCGUGGACAACACGGAGGAAGGUGGGGACGACGUCAAGUCAUCAUGCCCCUUACGUCUUGGGCUACACACGUCCUACAAUGCUACGGACAGAGGGCAGCAAGCUAGCGAUAGCAAGCAAAUCCCAUAAACCGUAGCUCAGUUCAGAUUGCAGGCUGCAACUCGCCUGCAUGAAGGCGGAAUCGCUAGUAAUCGCAGGUCAGCAUACUGCGGUGAAUACCGUUCCCGGGCCUU
Molecule: ribosomal RNA, 330 nt
Filed under: uncultured cyanobacterium
Lineage: Bacteria; Bacillati; Cyanobacteriota
Description: bacterial SSU rRNA
Rfam family: Bacterial small subunit ribosomal RNA
Source: RNAcentral